GCCGAAGUGGUGGAACUGGUAGACACGCUAGGUUCAGGGUCUAGUAGGGUCACACCUGUGGGGGUUCAAAUCCCCCCUUCGGCACCA
This 87-nucleotide transfer RNA is filed under the name Deltaproteobacteria bacterium. Its description in RNAcentral is "tRNA-Leu". It matches the Rfam family "tRNA". From Rfam's summary of the family: Transfer RNA (tRNA) molecules are approximately 80 nucleotides in length. Their secondary structure includes four short double-helical elements and three loops (D, anti-codon, and T loops). Further hydrogen bonds mediate the characteristic L-shaped molecular structure. tRNAs have two regions of fundamental functional importance: the anti-codon, which is responsible for specific mRNA codon recognition, and the 3' end, to which the tRNAs corresponding amino acid is attached (by aminoacyl-tRNA synthetases). tRNAs cope with the degeneracy of the genetic code in two manners: having more than one tRNA (with a specific anti-codon) for a particular amino acid; and 'wobble' base-pairing, i.e. permitting non-standard base-pairing at the 3rd anti-codon position. Lineage: Bacteria; Pseudomonadati; Myxococcota; Myxococcia. The record is from RNAcentral.